Molecule: ribosomal RNA, 253 nt
Filed under: uncultured bacterium
Lineage: Bacteria
Description: partial 16S ribosomal RNA
Rfam family: Bacterial small subunit ribosomal RNA
Source: RNAcentral
UACGGAGGGUGCGAGCGUUAUCCGGCAUUACUGGGUUUAAAGGGUGCGUAGGCGGCUAUGUAAGUCAGGAGUGAAAGUUUGCGGCUCAACCGUAAAAUUGCUUUUGAUACUGCAUGGCUGGAAUUAGGAUGAGGUCAGCGGAAUGUGGCAUGUAGCGGUGAAAUGCAUAGAUAUGCCAUAGAACACCAAUUGCGAAGGCAGCUGGCUAGACCUGGAUUGACGCUGAGGCACGAAAGCGUGGGGAGCGAACAGG